RNAcentral lists this ribosomal RNA (466 nucleotides) under uncultured bacterium. RNAcentral describes it as "partial 16S ribosomal RNA". It matches the Rfam family "Bacterial small subunit ribosomal RNA", at positions 28 to 507 of the family's 1533-position model. The record is from RNAcentral.
GAUGAACGCUGGCGGCGUGCUUAACACAUGCAAGUCGAACGAUGAAGCCCAGCUUUCUGGGUGGAUUAGUGGCGAACGGGUGAGUAACACGUGAGUAACCUGCCCUUAACUCUUGGAUAAGCCUGGGAAACUGGGUCUAAUACCGGAUAGGAGCGUCCACCGCAUGGUGGGUGUUGGAAAGAUUUAUCGGUUUUGGAUGGACUCGCGGCCUAUCAGCUUGUUGGUGAGGUAAUGGCUCACCAAGGCGACGACGGGUAGCCGGCCUGAGAGGGUGACCGGCCACACUGGGACUGAGACACGGCCCAGACUCCUACGGGAGGCAGCAGUGGGGAAUAUUGCACAAUGGGCGCAAGCCUGAUGCAGCGACGCCGCGUGAGGGAUGACGGCCUUCGGGUUGUAAACCUCUUUCAGUAGGGAAGAAGCGAAAGUGACGGUACCUGAAGAAGAAGCACCGGCUAACUACGUG